GACUUACUUCGUAUUUUUUAUGUAAAAAAUUCUGCAAAGAAAUUACUUAAUACGACUGCUGGUUUUACGGACUCUUCCUUGGAAUCUAUUUCGCAGAUAAGAACACCCAUUAAGGAGUUUUAUAACCGUAAUCCUGUAAAUAUUAUUCACCUAAAGUUAGUACCUAGACAAGAUUCCGCAUAUUUCGUUUUUAUGUUUAACGAGUAUGAAGAUCACUUGGAAGCAGUCUGUAGAGAUCACAGAAAGGAAAUUCUUUUUUCCCUUAAGACUAAUCACUUUAUGAAAAGUUUGGAAAUCGAAGUGCUCACAGACGAAAAGGCUGUAGGAUUGCUUGGGAAAAACGUUGCUUUGCUGGGAGUAGGCUGUGGUAUUCUUAAGUAUAGAUUUGAUAGGCAAGAGAAACCAAUGAAAGGAAAGCAACUAUUAUUUUUCAGAGCUCUUCGCACGAGCUAUGAGGAAUUGAUCCAAAAGGAUGGCCAAGUUGCAAAACUACCUUAAGAGUGCACGUUACCUUUGAAAAAAGGAUUAAAGUUCC
Molecule: long non-coding RNA, 535 nt
Organism: Zophobas morio
Lineage: Eukaryota; Metazoa; Arthropoda; Insecta; Coleoptera; Tenebrionidae
Exons: 5
Source: RefSeq, a predicted model, not a curated record